RNAcentral lists this unclassified non-coding RNA (240 nucleotides) under soil metagenome. RNAcentral's name for it is "partial contains 5.8S ribosomal RNA, internal transcribed spacer 2, and large subunit ribosomal RNA". The record is from RNAcentral.
AACGGUCUAUACCUGCGGUACCUGCGGAGGGAUCAUUAUAAAAAUAUGGUCAAACCAUUCUCCUGUGAUUUACGUAAUGUGUAUACUUUGGCAGGCGUUGGGUCAUCUUCGAUCCAUCUUCUACGUUUGUGCUUACGCGCACGAAUGUCUGAAGCUGGCCUGCCAGAGGUUUUCAAUAAACACACACGUUUAAACUACAGUCUGAAAAUCUCUUUCGAGAGAAUAAAAACAAAUAUAAAU